Molecule: ribosomal RNA, 2930 nt
Filed under: Enterobacter bugandensis
Lineage: Bacteria; Pseudomonadati; Pseudomonadota; Gammaproteobacteria; Enterobacterales; Enterobacteriaceae
Description: bacterial LSU rRNA
Rfam family: Bacterial large subunit ribosomal RNA
Source: RNAcentral
GGGUUGUGAGGUUAAGCGACUAAGCGUACACGGUGGAUGCCCUGGCAGUCAGAGGCGAUGAAGGACGUGCUAAUCUGCGAAAAGCGCCGGCGAGGUGAUAUGAACCUUUGACCCGUCGAUGUCCGAAUGGGGAAACCCAGUGUGAUUCGUCACACUAUCGUUAACUGAAUACAUAGGUUAACGAGGCGAACCGGGGGAACUGAAACAUCUAAGUACCCCGAGGAAAAGAAAUCAACCGAGAUUCCCCCAGUAGCGGCGAGCGAACGGGGAGCAGCCCGGAGUCUGAAUCAGCUUGUGUGUUAGUGGAAGCGUCUGGAAAGUCGCACGGUACAGGGUGACAGUCCCGUACACGAAAAUGCACAGGUUGUGAACUCGAAGAGUAGGGCGGGACACGUGGUAUCCUGUCUGAAUAUGGGGGGACCAUCCUCCAAGGCUAAAUACUCCUGACUGACCGAUAGUGAACCAGUACCGUGAGGGAAAGGCGAAAAGAACCCCGGCGAGGGGAGUGAAAAAGAACCUGAAACCGUGUACGUACAAGCAGUGGGAGCACCUUCGUGGUGUGACUGCGUACCUUUUGUAUAAUGGGUCAGCGACUUAUAUUCUGUAGCAAGGUUAACCGUAUAGGGGAGCCGCAGGGAAACCGAGUCUUAACUGGGCGUUAAGUUGCAGGGUAUAGACCCGAAACCCGGUGAUCUAGCCAUGGGCAGGUUGAAGGUUGGGUAACACUAACUGGAGGACCGAACCGACUAAUGUUGAAAAAUUAGCGGAUGACCUGUGGCUGGGGGUGAAAGGCCAAUCAAACCGGGAGAUAGCUGGUUCUCCCCGAAAGCUAUUUAGGUAGCGCCUCGUGAACUCAUCUUCGGGGGUAGAGCACUGUUUCGGCUAGGGGGCCAUCCCGGCUUACCAACCCGAUGCAAACUACGAAUACCGAAGAAUGUUAUCACGGGAGACACACGGCGGGUGCUAACGUCCGUCGUGAAGAGGGAAACAACCCAGACCGCCAGCUAAGGUCCCAAAGUCAUGGUUAAGUGGGAAACGAUGUGGGAAGGCACAGACAGCCAGGAUGUUGGCUUAGAAGCAGCCAUCAUUUAAAGAAAGCGUAAUAGCUCACUGGUCGAGUCGGCCUGCGCGGAAGAUGUAACGGGGCUAAACCAUGCACCGAAGCUGCGGCAGCGACACUAUGUGUUGUUGGGUAGGGGAGCGUUCUGUAAGCCGUUGAAGGUGUGCUGUGAGGCAUGCUGGAGGUAUCAGAAGUGCGAAUGCUGACAUAAGUAACGAUAAAGCGGGUGAAAAGCCCGCUCGCCGGAAGACCAAGGGUUCCUGUCCAACGUUAAUCGGGGCAGGGUGAGUCGACCCCUAAGGCGAGGCCGAAAGGCGUAGUCGAUGGGAAACAGGUUAAUAUUCCUGUACUUGGUGUUACUGCGAAGGGGGGACGGAGAAGGCUAUGUCAGCCGGGCGACGGUUGUCCCGGUUUAAGCGUGUAGGUGUGUGUUCCAGGCAAAUCCGGUUCACUUUAACACUGAGGCGUGAUGACGAGGCACUACGGUGCUGAAGUGAUAAAUGCCCUGCUUCCAGGAAAAGCCUCUAAGCAUCAGGUAACACGAAAUCGUACCCCAAACCGACACAGGUGGUCAGGUAGAGAAUACCAAGGCGCUUGAGAGAACUCGGGUGAAGGAACUAGGCAAAAUGGUGCCGUAACUUCGGGAGAAGGCACGCUGAUAUGUAGGUGAAGUCCCUGCGGACGGAGCUGAAAUCAGUCGAAGAUACCAGCUGGCUGCAACUGUUUAUUAAAAACACAGCACUGUGCAAACACGAAAGUGGACGUAUACGGUGUGACGCCUGCCCGGUGCCGGAAGGUUAAUUGAUGGGGUUAGCGGCAACGCGAAGCUCUUGAUCGAAGCCCCGGUAAACGGCGGCCGUAACUAUAACGGUCCUAAGGUAGCGAAAUUCCUUGUCGGGUAAGUUCCGACCUGCACGAAUGGCGUAAUGAUGGCCAGGCUGUCUCCACCCGAGACUCAGUGAAAUUGAACUCGCUGUGAAGAUGCAGUGUACCCGCGGCAAGACGGAAAGACCCCGUGAACCUUUACUAUAGCUUGACACUGAACGCUGGUCCUUGAUGGUUAGGAUAGGUGGGAGGCUUUGAAGCGUGGACGCCAGUCUGCGUGGAGCCGUCCUUGAAAUACCACCCUUUAAUGGCUGGUGUUCUAACGUGGACCCGUAAUCCGGGUUGCGGACAGUGUCUGGUGGGUAGUUUGACUGGGGCGGUCUCCUCCCAAAGAGUAACGGAGGAGCACGAAGGUUAGCUAAUCCUGGUCGGACAUCAGGAGGUUAGUGCAAUGGCAUAAGCUAGCUUGACUGCGACAGUGACGGCUCGAGCAGCUGCGAAAGCAGGUCAUAGUGAUCCGGUGGUUCUGCAUGGAAGGGCCCUCGCCCAACGGAUAAAAGGUACUCCGGGGAUAACAGGCUGAUACCGCCCAAGAGUUCAUAUCGACGGCGGUGUUUGGCACCUCGAUGUCGGCUCAUCACAUCCUGGGGCUGAAGUAGGUCCCAAGGGUAUGGCUGUUCGCCAUUUAAAGUGGUACGCGAGCUGGGUUUAGAACGUCGUGAGACAGUUCGGUCCCUAUCUGCCGUGGGCGCUGGAGAAUUGAGGGGGGCUGCUCCUAGUACGAGAGGACCGGAGUGGACGCAUCACUGGUGUUCGGGUUGUCAUGCCAAUGGCACUGCCCGGUAGCUAAAUGCGGAAGAGAUAAGUGCUGAAAGCAUCUAAGCACGAAACUUGCCCCGAGAUGAGUUCUCCCUGAGACUUUAAGUCUCCUGAAGGAACGUUAAAGACUAUGACGUUGAUAGGCCGGGUGUGUAAGCGCAGCGAUGCGUUGAGCUAACCGGUACUAAUGAACCGUGAGGCUUAACCUUACAACGCCGAAGCUGUU